CCUACGGGAGGCAGCAGUGAGGAAUAUUGGUCAAUGGGCGCGAGCCUGAACCAGCCAAGUAGCGUGAAGGAUGACUGCCCUACGGGUUGUAAACUUCUUUUAUAAAGGAAUAAAGUCAGGCACGUGUGCCUUUUUGUAUGUACUUUAUGAAUAAGGAUCGGCUAACUCCGUGCCAGCAGCCGCGGUAAUACGGAGGAUCCGAGCGUUAUCCGGAUUUAUUGGGUUUAAAGGGAGCGUAGGUGGUCUGUUAAGUCAGUUGUGAAAGUUUGCGGCUCAACCGUAGAAUUGCCAUUGAUACUGGCCGUCUUGAGUGCAGUUGAGGUAGGCGGAAUUCGUGGUGUAGCGGUGAAAUGCUUAGAUAUCACGAAGAACUCCGAUUGCGAAGGCAGCUUACUAACCUGCCACUGACGUUGAUGCACGAAAGUGUGGGUAUCAAACAGGAUUAGAUACCCCGGUAGUC
This 460-nucleotide ribosomal RNA is filed under the name uncultured bacterium. Its description in RNAcentral is "partial 16S ribosomal RNA". It matches the Rfam family "Bacterial small subunit ribosomal RNA", at positions 338 to 795 of the family's 1533-position model. The record is from RNAcentral.